AUUAGAAUUCUAACCUGCUGAGUUUUAACAUGUACCAAGAAAUAUCAGGUGUGGAGAUAAGGGAUGGUUUAUCUACUCCCUCUUUUCCUUUCAUUCUUUGAACGGCAUCAAGUUCUCAAUUUGUUAUGCAUUGCAACACUUUUCCAAUGACCUACUUUAGUGGAAGGAAAAUUUGAACAACACCGGCAGACAGGGAGAACAUCAUGUGAAGACUGGAGUUAUGUUGACAGGCCAAGGAACUACCAGAAGUUAGGAGAGUGGCCAAGAGCCUUCAGAGGGAAUACAGCCCUGACGACACUUCUAGCCUUCAGAACUGUGAGACAAUAAAGUUCUGGAGGAUUUUGUUUGUUUGUUUGUUUUAGAGACAGGGUCUUAUUCUGUUGCCUAUCUGAGUGCAGCUGCACGAUCAUAGCUCACUGCAGUCUUGAACUCCCAGGCUCAAGUGAUCCUUUCCCCACUACCGGUGGCUGGGAUUAUGGGUGCAAGCCAUCGUGCUUGGCCAAUUUCUGUUGUUCAAGCUGCCCAGUCUGUUACGGCAGCCCUAGCAAGCUAAUACAUCAAGAACAAACAAAACACAAGUCAGAGUUAAGAAUGGAGACAUCUGAAACAGCAUCAGGGUGAACAAUGAAAAGACGGCAGACUGACACCGAUUCCUAACUUAUCUUUCUCAGGAGCUGACACAAGAUAGGUUGUCAAGAAAUUCAUACUUUUUAUUUUUGUUAAGCACUCUCCACAUAAAUCUUACCUAAGUACAGUAGUCACCCACUCCCUUAUCCCUGGUGGGUAUGUCCUAAGACCCAGAUGGUAUCGAACCUUAAAUACACUGUUUUUUCCUAUACCAUACAUACCUAUGAUAACGUUUCACUUAUAAAUUAGGCACAGUAAGAGAUUAACACCAAUAACUCCUAAUAAAAUAGAACAGGCCGGGCGCUGUGGCUCAUGCCUGGAAUCACAACACUGGGCGGCCAAGGUGGGGCGGAUCACCCGGGAUCAGGAGUUCAAGACCAGCCUGGCCAACAUGGCGAAACUCCAUCUCUACUGAAAAUACAAAAACUAGCCAGGUGUGGUGACAGGUGCCUGUAAUCCCACUACUUGGAAGGCUGAGGCAGGAGAAUCACUUGAACCUGGAAGACGGAGGUUGUAGUGAGCCGAGACUGUGCCACUGCACUCCUGCCUGGGCUACA
Molecule: long non-coding RNA, 1184 nt
Organism: Callithrix jacchus (white-tufted-ear marmoset)
Lineage: Eukaryota; Metazoa; Chordata; Mammalia; Primates; Cebidae
Source: RefSeq, a predicted model, not a curated record